UCCAAAACUCCGGAAGGGUUUCUGAGGCUCAGAGGCAACCAAUCUACUGAAAAUUUAUUCCGAAGAAAAAAAGUACAAAGAGUGUGGAUAGGAGUUUUAAAUCUUCAGAAAGGAGAGCACAACGCAAUAUCCCGAGAAUUUCUUCAUGCCGAACAUGCCGAUCCGAGGCCAGUAUCGAAAUUCAGCGUCAGAAGAGACAAUUGUUUUGUUCGGAGUCUGAAGUUAGACUUUGUUAUAAUAGCUACACUUUGAUGUGAUCGCUAAGGAAAGGCCAACAAAUGAAAACCUCUAAACGUAUCCCAAGGAUAACAGACGCGUUUUAUAGCGCUCAUGAACUAAAAUUGUGAAAAUCCUGUUAUUGAACUUCCAGAAAAAUGGCUGUUGUGAAACAUAACUUUAGCUAUGA
Uranotaenia lowii is the source of this 406-nucleotide long non-coding RNA. RefSeq lists it as uncharacterized. Lineage: Eukaryota; Metazoa; Arthropoda; Insecta; Diptera; Culicidae. The record is from RefSeq and is a predicted model, not a curated record. The transcript has 3 exons.